GGUUAAGUUAGAAAGGGCGCACGGUGGAUGCCUUGGCACUAGGAGCCGAAGAAGGACGGGACUAACACCGAUAUGCUUUGGGGAGCUGUACGUAAGCGUUGAUCCAGAGAUUUCCGAAUGGGGGAACCCACUAUCUUUAGUCGGAUAGUAUCCUUACGUGAAUACAUAGCGUGAGGAAGGCAGACCCAGGGAACUGAAACAUCUAAGUACCUGGAGGAAGAGAAAGAAAAAUCGAUUUCCUGAGUAGCGGCGAGCGAAACGGAAAGAGCCCAAACCAAGAAGCUUGCUUCUUGGGGUUGUAGGACACUCUAUACGGAGUUACAAAAGAAAGUUAUAAAUGAAGCGGUCUGGAAAGGCCCGCCAAAGACGGUAACAGCCCGGUAGUUGAAAUAGCUUUCCCUCCAGAGUGGAUCCUGAGUACGGCGGAACACGUGAAAUUCCGUCGGAAUCCGGGAGGACCAUCUCCCAAGGCUAAAUACUCCCUAGUGACCGAUAGUGAACCAGUACCGUGAGGGAAAGGUGAAAAGCACCCCGGAAGGGGAGUGAAACAGUUCCUGAAACCGUGUGCCUACAAGUAGUUAGAGCCCGUUAAUGGGUGAUAGCGUGCCUUUUGUAGAAUGAACCGGCGAGUUACGAUUUGUUGCAAGGUUAAGCGGAAAAAGCGGAGCCGUAGCGAAAGCGAGUCUGAAUAGGGCGCAUAAGUAACAGGUCGUAGACCCGAAACCAGGUGAUCUACCCAUGUCCAGGAUGAAGGUAAGGUAAUACUUACUGGAGGUCCGAACCCACGCACGUUGAAAAGUGCGGGGAUGAGGUGUGGGUAGCGGAGAAAUUCCAAUCGAACUUGGAGAUAGCUGGUUCUCUCCGAAAUAGCUUUAGGGCUAGCCUCGAGGUAAAGAGUCAUGGAGGUAGAGCACUGUUUGGACUAGGGGCCCUUCUCGGGUUACCGAAUUCAGAUAAACUCCGAAUGCCAUGUACUUAUACUCGGGAGUCAGACUGCGAGUGAUAAGAUCCGUAGUCGAAAGGGAAACAGCCCAGACCACCAGUUAAGGUCCCCAAAUAUAUGUUAAGUGGAAAAGGAUGUGGGGUUGCUUAGACAACCAGGAUGUUGGCUUAGAAGCAGCCACCAUUGAAAGAGUGCGUAAUAGCUCACUGGUCGAGUGACCCCGCGCCGAAAAUGUACCGGGGCUAAACAUAUUACCGAAACUGUGGAUGAACCUCUUUAGAGGUUCGUGGUAGGAGAGCGUUCUAAGGGCGGUGAAGUCAGACCGGAAGGACUGGUGGAGCGCUUAGAAGUGAGAAUGCCGGUAUGAGUAGCGAAAGAAGGGUGAGAAUCCCUUCCACCGAAUAUCUAAGGUUU
RNAcentral lists this ribosomal RNA (1357 nucleotides) under Listeria monocytogenes. RNAcentral describes it as "partial 23S ribosomal RNA". It matches the Rfam family "Bacterial large subunit ribosomal RNA", at positions 1 to 1353 of the family's 2925-position model. Lineage: Bacteria; Bacillati; Bacillota; Bacilli; Caryophanales; Listeriaceae. The record is from RNAcentral.